UUUUUUCUUUUCUUUUUCUAGGGGUGGGCGUCGGGUUUGGGAUCGAGUCUAGGGGGUAGCGUGGGGAGGAGGGAGCAGGGGUAGAGGAGCGGCGGCGACGGUGUAGGAGGGGCAGGGGACGUGGUGAGGAGCAGCGGUUGGAGCGGCGGCGGUGGAGGAGGGGCAGGGAACGUGGUGAGGGACUAGGGAGGAGGCCGUGGUAGGGGCCGGUAGGGGUGAAGGUGGUGGGGAGGCAGGGUCAGCGACGAGAGAGAGCCAAUUCACUCUACCCUAGGUGAGGGCGUCGGCGGCGAGGUGGGAGUGGCAGCUGCUGGGUACGGCGGCGGCGUGUGGUGGCCCGGGAGGGUAGUGGGACCGGGGUACAACCCAUCACGCUCCGCCACGAAGGUCUGGUGCUACCGGCGUCGGAACGGGUGAGGUUAGACCUAGGUACCACGUGAGGAAGGAGGGAGACCUAGGUCGCGGACGACCACUGCUCCCGGCGGUCUAGGCGCUGGACCCUCCGAGGAGGACAUCCUAUGCCCUCGUCGUGCGGCGUGGGACGUCAGCGACUGGACCACGUGAGGAAGAUUAGAGGUAUCGGUGAAAAAACGGAGCCGACGAACGAGACGAGAGACGCACUACCUCGAUCCGGAGUGCGAGGUCGAUCGGCGCGGCGGCCGCGCGGAGGGGGUGCCCAUAUAACGUAGCGGCACGGGCGGUCAUUACUCGCCUCAGGCCCGCCCCUCCGCGCUCUCAUCCUCCCGACCCCGACACAGCUGCUCACCCCCACACUCGAUGCGCCACCAACUUCUACCCUUCCACUUGCUCCCCCUCCUCUACAGCUCCGGCGCCGACCUCAAGUAGCUCUUCAAUCUAGCCAUGGACCGCGACGACCUGCUCAUGCUCAGCCUCCUCGACCCCCGCCGCGAGACGCGGUUGGUGGCGUCACAACUCGGAAGAAGAAGAAGAAACACCAAACGAAACAAACAUCAUGCAUGGAUCGACCUAAAGUAAGUCGUGAGGGACCGGUUCAUCUAAUAAAGUCGCAAAUCACAAAGACUUCGCAGUUUACGCUGGUCAUCGUAAGAACCAAGUCAUUUUAAGUCCUUAGACAGUAACACGUCGUCUUCAUUUACUGUCAAGUCUCCUUUUCACGGAGGACGUUUUCUUAAAAAUGUUCUAAGACCCUCUUAAGUCUACUUUGUUGAAUAAACGAAAUAUUAAAGAUUUACUGUUAACGGUACAAUAUUAUGACACUCAGACACAACACACAGAGGUAUCCAAUACAACGACACAACCCCUUCGGUUUACAGCCGUUCUCGUGGGACUAUUUGGUUUAGCAACCAGUCAUCGAAAGCUAGCAUUGGCUAUUUGGUGUUUGGUGUGCGGUGGUGUAGGAGCCAUAUACAAGACUUGGUCUUAUGGUCCAUGUUGGAAGAACAGAGGUUUCGUGGUCCAACUAGAACUAACGAUCGUACCCUCUACAUAGAAGAAAACGUAUAGUUAAUGUAUCGUCAUGAUACAUUGUUAGAUACAUGACAAUAAAAAUCCAAUCCAACUUCACUAACCAUCCGGAAGCAAUCGUUCGCUCGAAAUUUAAAGGUAACAAUAAACGUGAUAUAAGGUGCGUGCGGAGUAAACUUAAACACUAGCAUAGGUAUCUGGUCACUUAAAUAACGUGAUAAACGAACGACACUUCAUAGGUCAUAAACAAUGUAAUACAGAAAUUCAUCAUUUUAACUCUUGCCGUUCGAUUUAAGAAGUUGACUUGACGAGAAAGUAACAUGGUGCUUUAGCCUUUAUGACUUCAAAACGAUACAUAUUGUAACCACGUACACGUCCGGGCCGAACACCCCUACCAGUCACCGUUCCGUCUCGCCUUGUGCCUGCACAGGAAGCGCGAGCUGCUGCCGUGGCCGGCAUAGCUGUAGUAGUCUACCGACUGUACCUUUUUCAAUACCUUGUUCUCCAUGGUCUUCCACCUCUUGGUUUCUUACAACGACGACAACAACGACUGUAAGAGUGAUUUCUUACAGGGAGGUCGUGUAAGGAAGUUUUACAACCGGAACUCAGCUCGAGGUUCUACUUCAAGUUAUCUAGACGUCAAUGAAACCUACGAGUACAUGUUCUUGAUCUCAUUUUCGAACUCUUCCUCUCCGCUCGGCGACUCAACUACGUUCUCCUCGAACAACUCCAGUUCUUCUUUAGUCUCCUCUGGCUUCGACAUGCGCGGCGUCUCAUAGUCAACAAUGACGUUUCUCAACUCCGGUGGCUACGAUCCCGACGUCGUUCACUAAGAUCUAAACGCGCAGAGUACCUAGACAAGCUUCCAUUUAAUCAAUGAUGUUGCACCAGCUACAACCGAAACCCUGAAAACUACGACUCAACAAACCUGGACCCCAACUACUCAAAGAAACCCACACAAUGACCGAUACAAUAAAACCAACCACGUAGAAUACUUGAACACCACAUUACUAUGACGACCCGGAUUCAAUUACUUUAGAACCUCUUAACAUAAUAAUAAU
RNAcentral lists this ribosomal RNA (2507 nucleotides) under Triticum aestivum (bread wheat). Its description in RNAcentral is "partial small subunit ribosomal RNA". The record is from RNAcentral. Lineage: Eukaryota; Viridiplantae; Streptophyta; Magnoliopsida; Poales; Poaceae.